ACAUACAAGUAGUAGGAAGGAAACUGGACGACCCUUCCGGGAGGCUUGUACAGGUGCUGCAUGGCUGUCGUCAGCUCGUGUCGUGAGAUGUUCGGUUAAGUCCGCUAACGAGCGCAACCCUCGCUGUGUGUUACAAGUGUCACACGGAACUGCCGGUCAUAAACCGGAGGAAGGUGGGAUGACGUCAAGUCAGCAUGGCCUUUAUAUCCUGGGCUACACACACGCUACAAUGGGAAGGGACAAUAGGUUGCGAAGCCGCGAGGCGGAGCCAAUCCAGCAAAACUUCCCUCAGUUCAGAUUGCAGGCUGCAACUCGCCUGCAUGAAGUUGGAGUUGCUAGUAAACGCAGGUCAGCCAUACUGCGUUGAAUACGUUCCCGGGGCUU
This 384-nucleotide ribosomal RNA is filed under the name uncultured Anaerolineaceae bacterium. Its description in RNAcentral is "bacterial SSU rRNA". It matches the Rfam family "Bacterial small subunit ribosomal RNA", at positions 984 to 1382 of the family's 1533-position model. Lineage: Bacteria; Bacillati; Chloroflexota; Anaerolineae; Anaerolineales; Anaerolineaceae. The record is from RNAcentral.